CCUACGGGAGGCAGCAGUAGGGAAUCUUUCACAAUGGGCGAAAGCCUGAUGGAGCAACGCCGCGUGCAGGAUGAAGGCCUUCGGGUUGUAAACUGCUUUUAUAAGCGAGAAAUAUGAUGGUAACUUAUGAAUAAGGAUCGGCUAACUACGUGCCAGCAGCCGCGGUCAUACGUAGGAUCCGAGCAUUAUCCGGAGUGACUGGGUGUAAAGAGUUGCGUAGGUGGCAUAAUAAGUAGCUAGUGAAAUCUGGUGGCUCAACCAUUCAGACUAUUAGCUAAACUGUUAAGCUCGAGACCGUUAGGGGUAACUGGAAUUUCUAGUGUAGGAGUGAAAUCCGUAGAUAUUAGAAGGAACACCAAUAGCGUAGGCAGGUUGCUGGGACGGUUCUGACACUAAGGCACGAAAGCGUAGGGAGCAAACGGAAUUAGAUACCCCAGUAGUC
Molecule: ribosomal RNA, 442 nt
Filed under: uncultured bacterium
Lineage: Bacteria
Description: partial 16S ribosomal RNA
Rfam family: Bacterial small subunit ribosomal RNA
Source: RNAcentral